AACGAACGCUGGCGGCAGGCCUAACACAUGCAAGUCGAACGCUCGUAGCAAUACGAGAGUGGCAGACGGGUGAGUAACACGUGGGAACCUUCCCUAUGGUUCGGAAUAGCUCAGGGAAACUUGGGGUAAUACCGGAUAAGCCCUUCGGGGAAGAUUUAUCGCCAUUGGAUGGGCCCGCGUCGGAUUAGCUAGUUGGUGAGGUAACGGCUCACCAAGGCAACGAUCCGUAGCUGGUCUGAGAGGAUGAUCAGCCACACUGGGACUGAGACACGGCCCAGACUCCUACGGGAGGCAGCAGUGGGGAAUAUUGGACAACGGGCGCAAGCCUGAUCCAGCCAUGCCGCGUGAGUGACGAAGGUCUUCGGAUUGUAAAACUCUUUUGGCGGGGACGAUAAUGACGGUACCCGCAGAAUAAGCCCCGGCUAACUUCGUGCCAGCAGCCGCCGCCGUAAU
Molecule: ribosomal RNA, 453 nt
Filed under: uncultured bacterium
Lineage: Bacteria
Description: bacterial SSU rRNA
Rfam family: Bacterial small subunit ribosomal RNA
Source: RNAcentral